UCCACUUCAGAUACCUCGUGCCGCUUAAACCUUCCCUCUCCCGCCUAAACCCUCCUCAGCCGUGCCGUUCAGUGCCGCCGCCGCCGUCGUCAUUCUCGAAUUUGCUUCUCCUCCGUGCUGCGUCAGUCUUCGUCGAAGGUUUAUAAUGUCCGGUGAAGAUAAGAACUUGCAUAGUAUGUCGGAGUCGGAUUCCGAACAAGAAGAUGUUGGCAAAGAAGGCAUUGAAUGGAUAAUGAACCUUCCAGACGUGCCGAUGAAGCUCCCACCACAUGUAGAAUUGCAGAGGACUCGCGUCGAAUGCAAAGCCGAUGCUCCCAUUCAUACGGAUACGAUACAGUAUUCUGGAGCAUAUGCUUCGUUGGGUAUUGAUAACAGCUUACGACUGGAUUCUUUUCGCAAGAACUUCAAAAUUGAAGUGAUUGAUCUCAAAGAGGAUGACAUGGAAUUCGACAUGAUUGGCAUUGACCCAUCCCUCGCUAAUGCAUUUAGGAGAAUCCUGAUAGCUGAGGUUCCCACUAUGGCUAUUGAAAAAGUAUUGGUUGCUAACAAUACAUCAAUAGUCCAAGAUGAAGUGCUUGCCCAUAGGUUAGGUCUCAUCCCGAUUCGUGUUGAUCCAAGGCUUUUUGAGUACUCAGAUAAAGACACGCCAAAUGAGAAAAAUACAAUUGUUUUUAGACUCCAUGUUCGCUGUGAACGUGGAAAACCUCGUCUUACCGCGACUUCAGAAGCAUUGACAUGGCUACCAAAUGGUAGUGAAUUUCCUUUGGUAUCUGAUAAAUCAGUUUCAAACUCAAAGCCCAAAACAUAUACUUCUUUUAGUUGCAGCCAAGACACGCUGCCAGAAUUUGCCAACAAUCCAAUUGGUCCAAAGGACGGUGAUAUUAUACUUGCUAGACUCAGCUCGGGUCAGGAAAUUGAACUUGAAGCUCAUGCUGUUAAAGGUAUGGGUAAAACACAUGCUAAGUGGUCUCCAGUGGCCACUGCUUGGUACAGAAUGCUUCCUGAGGUUGUACUUCUGGAAGAGAUAGAGGAUGAGUUGGCAGAAGAACUCAAAAACAAAUGUCCUGUUAAUGUCUUCGACAUUGAAGAUAUAGCUAAUGGUAAGAAAAGGGCAACUGUUGCACGUCCACGAGCUUGCACAUUGUGCAGAGAAUGCAUAAGAGGAGAAGCAUGGGAGAAACGUGUCUCAUUGCGUCGGGUGAAGGAUCAUUUCAUUUUUAAGAUUGAAUCAACAGGAGCUUUACCUCCAGAGGUGCUGUUCACUGAAGCUGUAAAGAUUUUGGAAGAUAAGUGUGAACGUUUAAUUGCUGAGCUCUCUUGAUAAUUCCUGUCCAAAAGAGAUGAACGUGUACAUUAUUUCAUCUUAUUCAGCAGUCAUCAAUUUUUGUAAUAUAGGAGGUUUCAUAUUCUAUUUUUCUUUUUAAUUGACAGUAGAAUAGUAAGUUUUGCUGAUCUCUCUUGAUUCCUCCUAGAUUUUAUGAAUGCCAACUUGGAGGUGAUCGAAUAAGAGAAUGGACAAAGAUAAUGUUAUUUCUUCAAUGGAAUCUAAGUCUGUUUACUUCUAAGGAGCUCAAGUACCCAAGAUCUUUGGGUACUUAAAUUUAUAGAAAUGUAAGCUUGUUAUACUUUCUGUUAUUUAGCUUA
RNA transcript from Cucurbita maxima (winter squash), 1644 nucleotides. It is a transcript of the gene named DNA-directed RNA polymerases I and III subunit RPAC1, with no coding region annotated. NCBI's taxonomy places the organism in Eukaryota, Viridiplantae, Streptophyta, Magnoliopsida, Cucurbitales, Cucurbitaceae. The transcript has 10 exons. The record is from RefSeq and is a predicted model, not a curated record.